CGUGGCUCAAAUCCUCCAACUGCAGGACUGCCGGCCCUGGGACUCAUGAAUAAUGGAAGUGCAGUAACCACUCCUUACAGCCCAGACGACUUUCCAGGAGCAGGCUGUACCCCGAAAGUAAACAAGGAACAAGGGGCAAGGAGACAGAGAGAGAUGGGGAAAUGAUCCCUGAAUGGAAAGGAAUGCUAUGCACACUUUUUGGAUACAGGAAGUGAGAUUCAGAGGGGUUAAACAGCUUUCCUAAAGCCACACAGCGAGAGAGUCGAUCUGAACUGAAGAUUGUUUGACAUCAAAGCUCAUUUCUUUCCCUAAAUGUCAGCAUUCUUUCCUGACUUAUUAAUUUGAUUUCUGUCCUCCCCUCAUGGAAGUUAAUUAAAGGAAUGCGAGAACCUUUUAGAA
This 399-nucleotide long non-coding RNA is filed under the name Homo sapiens (human). RNAcentral's name for it is "non-protein coding LINC02127:12". Lineage: Eukaryota; Metazoa; Chordata; Mammalia; Primates; Hominidae. The record is from RNAcentral.